GACGAACGCUGGCGGCGUGCUUAACACGUGCAAGUCGAACGGAAAGGCCUCUUUCGGGGGGUACUCGAGUGGCGAACGGGUGAGUAACACGUGAGUAACCUGCCCUUGACUUUGGGAUAACUUCAGGAAACUGGGGCUAAUACCGGAUAGGAGCUCCUGCUGCAUGAUGGGGGUUGGAAAGUUUCGGCGGUUGGGGAUGGACUCGCGGCUUAUCAGCUUGUUGGUGGGGUAGUGGCUUACCAAGGCUUUGACGGGUAGCCGGCCUGAGAGGGUGACCGGCCACAUUGGGACUGAGAUACGGCCCAGACUCCUACGGGAGGCAGCAGUGGGGAAUAUUGCACAAUGGGUGGAAGCCUGAUGCAGCAACGCCGUGUGCGGGAUGACGGCCUUCGGGUUGUAAACCGCUUUCGCUCAUGACGAAGCUUUGUGUGACGGUAGUGGGUAAAGAAGCACCGGCUAACUACGUG
RNAcentral lists this ribosomal RNA (467 nucleotides) under uncultured bacterium. Its description in RNAcentral is "partial 16S ribosomal RNA". It matches the Rfam family "Bacterial small subunit ribosomal RNA", at positions 28 to 507 of the family's 1533-position model. The record is from RNAcentral.